RNAcentral lists this long non-coding RNA (779 nucleotides) under Nicotiana tabacum (common tobacco). RNAcentral's name for it is "long non-coding RNA (NTAB_LNC006285)". Lineage: Eukaryota; Viridiplantae; Streptophyta; Magnoliopsida; Solanales; Solanaceae. The record is from RNAcentral.
UAACAGUAACAGACUGGACAAAAAUGGACCAACAAAAAAAGACCAUUUUUUUUUUAACCCUGCUCUAAAACCUUCCACAACCGUUCUACUCUUCUCCUCCUCCUCUUCUUCUUAUGGCCUUUAAGCCAUGCCUUCAAGCUUUUGGUGCAGAAUUUCCAAGUUUAUUUUCUUUUAACUUUCCUAGUUAAAAUACUUCUUUCCCACUUCAAGUUUUUCUAUUUUCUUCUGGUGAUUUUAGUUGGCCAGCAAGCUAAAAUUUGCCUCUUGUUGGACACCAGCUACUGCAGGUUUGACUUAUUUCUCUCUCUGUUUUUAUACAAACACUUGAUUUUAUUUCUAAAAUUGGGUCUAUUUAAGCUCAAAAUGCUACCUAUAACAUUUCUUUUCUAAUGAUUACAGCUUAGUGUGGAGAUUUGUCAGAUGGGGUUCUUGUAUGUUUAGAAAUUUUGAUUAUUUUUACUUAGUGAUAAUCAAAGGGGAUUUUUUAGUACUAGAAUCUUGACUGCAAUUGUAAUUUGUGUACAACCAGCUGGAGUUUCUGCUUCUAUGUAUUAUCGUACACUAGGCUCUUGCAAAAUGUGGAUAUUUGACCUUUCAUUAUUGAUAAUGCAUUUUUCAACUCUUAGAUUGAAGCUGAAGAUUAUCUUUGGUUUGCCAUUUGGUAAAUCCAUGCUAAUCUCAUCUCAUGAUGAGAAAUAACUUUAGGACUUCAUUAACAGGAGGCAAAUUCGUCAUAAAUCACGUAUAGCAUCUAGGUAGACAGGUUGCAGGAUUAUCAG